UGCGUAGGCGGUCCCGCAAGUCCGCUGUGAAAGCCCCGGGCUCAACCUGGGAAUGGCAGUGGAAACUAGGGGACUUGAAUCUGGCAGAGGGGGGUGGAAUGCCACGUGUAGCAGUGAAAUGCGUAGAGAUGUGGCGGAACACCGAUGGCGAAGGCAGCCCCCUGGGCUGAGAUUGACGCUCAGGCACGAAAGCGUGGGAGCAAACA
RNAcentral lists this ribosomal RNA (206 nucleotides) under uncultured bacterium. RNAcentral describes it as "partial 16S ribosomal RNA". It matches the Rfam family "Bacterial small subunit ribosomal RNA", at positions 568 to 774 of the family's 1533-position model. The record is from RNAcentral.